AACCAGCUCUUCAGGUGCUCGGGAUAAUUAUUGGGCUUAAAGUGUCCGUAGCCGGAUUAGUAAGUUCCUGGUAAAAUCGGGUAGCUUAACUAUCCGUAUGCUAGGAAUACUACUAUACUAGAGGGCGGGAGAGGUCUGAGGGACUACAGGGGUAGGGGUGAAAUCUUAUAAUCCUUGUAGGACCACCAGUGGCGAAGGCGUCUGACUGGAACGCGCCUGACGGUGAGGGACGAAAGCCAGGGGAGCGAACCGGAUUAGAUACCCGGGUAGUCCUGGCUGUAAACGAUGCAUACUAGGUGAUGGUAUGGCCAUGAGCCGUGUCAGUGCCGUAGGGAAACCGUUAAGUGUGCCGCCUGGGAAGUACGGUCGCAAGGCUAAAACUUAAAGGAAUUGGCGGGGGAGCACCACAAGGGGUGAAGCCUGCGGUUUAAUUGGACUCAGCGCCGGGAAGCUUACCAGGGGAGACAGCAGAAUGACAGUCAGGUUGACGACCUUGCUUAACAAGCUGAGAGGAGGUGCAUGGCCGUCGCCAGUUCGUGCUGUGAGGUAUCCUGUUAACUCAGGCACCGACCGAGAUCCGCGCCUUUAUUUGCCAGCAAGAAGUCACGACUUCGUUGGGAACACUAAAGGGACCGCUGUCGAUAAGACGGAGGAAGGAGCGGGCGAAGGCAGGUCAGUAUGCCCCGAAACCCCUGGGCUACACGCGGGCUGCAAUGGUAUGAACAAUGGGCUGUAGCUCCGAAAGGAGAAACCAAUCCCGAAAUCAUAUCCCAGUUGGGAUUGUCGGCUGUAACUCGCUGACAUGAACGCGGAAUCCCUAGUAAUCGUGUGUCAUCAUCGCACGGUGAAUACGUUUCUGCUCCU
This 864-nucleotide ribosomal RNA is filed under the name uncultured archaeon. Its description in RNAcentral is "SSU rRNA". It matches the Rfam family "Archaeal small subunit ribosomal RNA", at positions 474 to 1337 of the family's 1478-position model. The record is from RNAcentral.